GCUAAUACCGCAUAACGUCGCAAGACCAAAGUGGGGGACCUUCGGGCCUCAUGCCAUCAGAUGUGCCCAGAUGGGAUUAGCUAGUAGGUGGGGUAACGGCUCACCUAGGCGACGAUCCCUAGCUGGUCUGAGAGGAUGACCAGCCACACUGGAACUGAGACACGGUCCAGACUCCUACGGGAGGCAGCAGUGGGGAAUAUUGCACAAUGGGCGCAAGCCUGAUGCAGCCAUGCCGCGUGUGUGAAGAAGGCCUUCGGGUUGUAAAGCA
Molecule: ribosomal RNA, 268 nt
Filed under: Klebsiella pneumoniae
Lineage: Bacteria; Pseudomonadati; Pseudomonadota; Gammaproteobacteria; Enterobacterales; Enterobacteriaceae
Also listed under: 1 other name
Description: partial 16S ribosomal RNA
Rfam family: Bacterial small subunit ribosomal RNA
Source: RNAcentral